This 1460-nucleotide unclassified non-coding RNA is filed under the name Homo sapiens (human). Its description in RNAcentral is "G protein signaling modulator 3 (ENSG00000234243.7)". Lineage: Eukaryota; Metazoa; Chordata; Mammalia; Primates; Hominidae. The record is from RNAcentral.
CCAGGGAUUAGGGGACUACUGAGGCUCUGGAGAUGAGACCGCCAGGAGUCCUUCCCCACCAUGAGCCCCCUCCACUCCUGCAGCUGGAGGAGUUUUUCCCAGUCUCAGUGCUGCCCUGGGGCGAGAGAGACUGAACAAGCUGUUUGGGUGGGAAGAGAAUGGAGGAAGUUGACAGGGAUGGGCGGGGCCCGUGGGGGGGCUGACCAGGAACCCAGCUUCCUGCUCAGUACCCAGGCAUCCAGCCCCCAGCUCACCCCCACCCCUUCCAGCCCCCACUCCCCUCAGGAACCCAAGGUUCCAGCCCUCCUCCCAAAUCCCAGCCACCCCUCCCCCACCAGUUUCUCCCCUCUAGGGGAUGGAGGCUGAGAGACCCCAGGAAGAAGAGGAUGGUGAGCAGAAUGGACAUAUUUUGGCAUCAGGGCCCCCCUCAGGAUGAGGAAGGCUGGCCCCCUCCAAACUCCACCACUCGGCCUUGGCGAUCUGCUCCUCCAUCCCCUCCUCCUCCAGGGACCCGCCACACAGCCCUGGGACCCCGCUCGGCCUCCCUGCUCUCCCUGCAGACUGAACUCCUUCUGGACCUGGUGGCUGAAGCCCAGUCCCGCCGCCUGGAGGAGCAGAGGGCCACCUUCUACACCCCCCAAAACCCCUCAAGCCUAGCCCCUGCCCCACUCCGUCCUCUCGAGGACAGAGAACAGCUUUACAGCACUAUCCUCAGUCACCAGUGCCAGCGGAUGGAAGCCCAGCGGUCAGAGCCUCCCCUCCCUCCAGGGGGGCAAGAGCUCCUGGAGUUGCUGCUGAGAGUUCAGGGUGGGGGUCGAAUGGAGGAGCAAAGGUCCCGGCCCCCCACACACACCUGCUGAGACUUGAGCCCCAACCAGCCCUUCCUUGCCACUGGUCUCAAAGCUGGGCAGCCCAUUGCAUGCCCUCAACUCUUGCUUGGCAGGGGUACCAGAGACUGAAAGACACGGCACAAAUCUCAAUAUUCAUCUCCCACAUCACCUUCCCUGGGAACUGGACAGGGUGAAAGUCCUCAAACUCUGGGAACAGGCGAGAUGGAACAGGGAUUUAACUCCCCGCCCACAGGUCCAUGGGAGCUUGAGGCAGUAAGGGGGAUCCCAGGCACCCAUCUCAAGGAGUGGCUGGGAGUCUUUUCCCUAACUUGUGGGGACACCACCAGUUGUCAAGCUACUAGGCAGUAGGGUCUGAGGGCUCAGGCCUCCACCUGAGAGGUUAUAACCUGAGAGACAGCUCUACCCUUCCUCCCAGUAAGAAGGGAAGGUGGGUGGGCACCUGAGAGAUUAAGACUAUUCUCCCAGUCCCACUACCAGCACCCCCGAUCCCUGAGACUGAGGGGUUUACGGGCUGUGAAUGGACCUUCAGCCCUGCCCACCCUCCCUCCCCACUGCUGCUGAGUCUGUCUGAUGUUUUGGUUGUGUGAAUAAAUAUAAUUCCCCUCUGGA